Molecule: ribosomal RNA, 436 nt
Filed under: uncultured bacterium
Lineage: Bacteria
Description: bacterial SSU rRNA
Rfam family: Bacterial small subunit ribosomal RNA
Source: RNAcentral
AGCGAACGCUGGCGGCAUGCUUAACACAUGCAAGUCGCACGGAUCUUUCGGGAUUAGUGGCGGACGGGUGAGUAACGCGUAGGGAUCUAUCCACGGGUGGGGGACAACUCCGGGAAACUGGAGCUAAUACCGCAUGAUACCUGAGGGUCAAAGGCGCAAGUCGCCUGUGGAGGAACCUGCGUUCGAUUAGCUAGUAGGUGGGGUAACGGCUCACCUAGGCGACGAUCCCUAGCUGGUCUGAGAGGAUGACCAGCCACACUGGAACUGAGACACGGUCCAGACUCCUACGGGAGGCAGCAGUGGGGAAUAUUGGACAAUGGGCGAAAGCCUGAUCCAGCAAUGCCGCGUGUGUGAAGAAGGUCUUCGGAUUGUAAAGCACUUUCGACGGGGACGAUGAUGACGGUACCCGUAGAAGAAGCCCCGGCUAACUUCGUGC